CAGUUGAGAGGCUGGUUUCAUUAUUUUUGGGGAUUUAGUCUUGUACCUUUUGCAUCAUGAUUUCCUGAGUGGGAUUCUAGAUGGGAGUUCCCGAAGAGUGGCGAUCUUUCUGUGGUUUGAUAGGAUCUAAGUGUUUGGCGGGUUGCUGAGUAUGAGAGUUGUUGAAAGAGGUGAGAUGUUUUUCGUGCUGCUGGAUAGCUGGUUCUCGUCUGUGUUUCCGUUGGUACCCCGUUUGCUCGGAUGUGAGCGGGGUGUAAAGAGACUUUAUGGCUUCUUGUGGGGUUAGGUUAGAGGUACCUUUGUUUAGUGGGUGUGUUAUAACUUAGUGGGGGCUUGUGGUUGUCUUUUAAGUUAGGGACGAGAGUUUGACGAGUUGAGGUGUUGUGGGUGAAUAAGUAGUUUGAGUGAUCUCUUCCUUUCUCGGAAUUCUCCGGUCUGUUUAUUAAAAACAUUUCCAUUAGGUAAUCUUUAAUGGUAGUGCCUGCCCGAUGUGUUUCAUGAAUGGCCGCAGUAUCCUGACUGUGCUAAGGUAGCAUAAUUAGUUGCCUCGUAAUUGGGGGAUUGUUUGAAAGGUUUGACCAGGGGGUAAGUCUAGGUGGGGGUCUUGGUUGAAAUUGGUUUGUUGGUGCAGAACCCAACGCUUUUUAGUUAGACGGAAAGACCCCGGGAGCUUUGAUUAAUUCUUUAUCUGGGGCGGAGGCAUACUUUUCGUGUGUUUUGUGAUCCCGUGUGGACAGGAGGGUCAAGUUACCCCGGGGAUAACUAGGUAAGAGGCAAGGAGAGGCCGUAUCGAUUUGUCUGUUUGCCAUCUCGAUGUUGACUUGAGGGUAGCAGGAGGGUGUAGAGGCUUUCUUGUGUUGGUCUGUUCGACCUUGGUGCCUUUCAUGAGUUGAGUUAAGACCGGCGUGAGCCAGGUCGGUUCUUAUCUACUGUUGUUGCAGGCUAGUACGAAAGGAUUGUCUGUAGUUUAAGUU
This 974-nucleotide ribosomal RNA is filed under the name Metagonimus yokogawai. RNAcentral's name for it is "16S ribosomal RNA". The stretch from base 621 to 974 matches the Rfam family "Bacterial large subunit ribosomal RNA", at positions 2048 to 2689 of the family's 2925-position model. Lineage: Eukaryota; Metazoa; Platyhelminthes; Trematoda; Opisthorchiida; Heterophyidae. The record is from RNAcentral.